Molecule: ribosomal RNA, 497 nt
Filed under: uncultured bacterium
Lineage: Bacteria
Description: partial 16S ribosomal RNA
Rfam family: Bacterial small subunit ribosomal RNA
Source: RNAcentral
GACGAACGCUGGCGGCGUGCCUAAUACAUGCAAGUUGAGCGCUGAAGGUUGGUACUUGUACCAACUGGAUGAGCAGCGAACGGGUGAGUAACGCGUGGGGAAUCUGCCUUUGAGCGGGGGACAACAUUUGGAAACGAAUGCUAAUACCGCAUAAAAACUUUAAACACAAGUUUUAAGUUUGAAAGAUGCAAUUGCAUCACUCAAAGAUGAUCCCGCGUUGUAUUAGCUAGUUGGUGAGGUAAAGGCUCACCAAGGCGAUGAUACAUAGCCGACCUGAGAGGGUGAUCGGCCACAUUGGGACUGAGACACGGCCCAAACUCCUACGGGAGGCAGCAGUAGGGAAUCUUCGGCAAUGGACGAAAGUCUGACCGAGCAACGCCGCGUGAGUGAAGAAGGUUUUCGGAUCGUAAAACUCUGUUGGUAGAGAAGAACGUUGGUGGGAGUGGAAAGCUCAUCAAGUGACGGUAACUACCCAGAAAGGGACAGCUAACUACGUG